CGGUUGGGGCCGCACGGGGUAGAGGCCGCCGCCGUUGGGGCUGUGCGGGGUCAGGGCCGCUGGGCGUUGGGGCCGCGCGAGGUAGGGCCGCCCGGGGUAAGGGCCGCGCGGCGUAGGGGCCGCUGGGGAUCGGGGUCGCGCGGGGUAGGGGCCGCUGGGGGUCGGGGCCGCACGGGGUAGGGGUCGUUGGGGGUCGGGGCCGCGGAGGCUAGGGGUGGGCGGUGGUAGCGCAGAGACCAGGUCGCUCUGAUCGUGACGGGAGCUCAGGCGCUGUGUAGAGGCGAGAGUAGAGUAGAAGCCAGUCGCGUCGCCCGGAGAGAGGAAGACAGUAAGGAGGGUCGGGGGUGCAGAGAAGCUCCACGAGGAGAGCGACGGAGCUUGAACUGGAAGGGCGAGGAGGUGGGGACGUGACGGCGAGGGAGGACAACAGAAGUGGGUGUUCGAGCCAGGGGGCUGUUUUUAACGACCUAGGACACGACGAAGAGCCCGCUCCAGUAACACGACGUGUACGCGACCGUUUGUUGUAGCAGAGACCAAAACAAAGGGUUGUGAGCCAUUCUUUCCUUUAAGAAAUCAUGAUCAAACUACUUUCUUUGUCGUCGUCAAGUAAUUAUAUUUUUUAGUGUAUAAACCUCCGUGCGGUAACACAAACGAUGUUACAGAGUCAUGUGACCUGAUGAUCGAAACGAGACAAGUAGCAAAUAAACAUCGAUGGAACACGAACUUUUAACGAUCUCUGCCGGACGAGGGCAACCGAAGGUGACGCGACAACCGGACGAGGUGAGCAGAAGGUGUCGCACUGCCGUCUGUUCGGACCUACGGCAGCAGACUUGGCGGCGUGGCGGGCUGUUGGUGCGAGGAGGUUGGUGGUAGGUAGUCGCGUGCCGUGAGGUUCGUGCAGGAGACCUACGGGGGAGGAGAACGGAUGAGGGACUGGUAGAGGGAGGACGGGGUAGGCAGGUCCAUACCAUGAGUGUGGUCAAGUUCAUCACUACAACGUUGUUCAUGUUGUUGAGGGGAUAGUUCGAAUGACUCGGUUUUUUCUCGUAAACUACCUACUAACGAUCGAGCGAAAAAGAAUUGCUUUUACAAGAAAAAGACUUAAAAGUAAAAGUGUUCACACUACGUACACCAUAAACUAACUACGUAAAACUUGAUGAUCGAGUGAACCAUGUAUACUACGCAAGGAUAUGAUAACAUACUAGGUUAGAAAAAUCCAUACUCGCUUUUUGAUCUUUUAAACAUCUUCGAAAACACAAAGACAUAAAUAAACAUGUUACCAUAUACCUACCCAACAAGAAGGAAAACAGCAUACCACUACGAUUAGUAUGUGGUCGCACCUCCGAUCAAGUACAGAACGACAAUGUAUGAACGUUGUAAUAAAUCAACACAAGUGUUCGUCCUUUCAAACGUAAGCCCUUAAAUCUGUUUUGUAUACAAGACGGUAAUGUGAAAAGUACGGGCUGUCAAAUCCCGUUUAUCCAUUGUAAUAGAGACGAUCUGGCCUGAGAUAUAUAAGUGCUGUGAGAUUUGAUGAUACCAUUCGUAUAAAUUUGACUACAUAAAGAAGAUCUACGACUUGAAAAACGUCAUAUCUCUGAUGUUCGACCGCGACGACUUAAGUAAUCUUCGAGAGAUUAAACAUGUACCCUAGAACCCUUCGUGCACUUGUUAGCCGAGUAAACGAACGGUGGCAGUACCUGUGGCGGCACCGCGACGGGUAACGAGAGCCAUCAGCACGAAGGAGGACACACCGGAAGAAGGAGACCGGUGACGACCGAGCAGUAGGCAGGAAGAAGAGGUAGAUGACUUCAAGUCGGAAAAAUUAACCGUUGCACACAUGUCGUCGCUGCUGCCUACUAGAUAGAGGGUACGGAGGCAGGAGUUAGAGCGACCACCAGUCGGGUCGAGGACGUUGGUUGUGUCCAGCAACGGGGAAAACGGUGUUGCCGUCGUCGUGUUUGUAAUCACACCAGCAGGAGUUGGUCAGGGAGUGCGCCGGAGGCGCGUUCGGGACGAGUACAUACGAAUGUGGUUUUGUCAAGUUGUCCCCACACCCCAAGUCAAGCUGCCACUGCUGGGUCCGUCGACCGGAAGCGUAUUGCUUCACCACGUCAAACUAGAACACACUCAACCUUUAGGGGACUACGACUCACACAGUCAUGUUGGGAUACGAUGUUCCGUACGCAUGUAGGUGAAGUGUACAAUCAGUUAUCUUAACACGUAAAAGAACCAUGGAAACGAUGAGAUCGGUUUUUAUAAAACAACAAGUGAAAAGACACGUUGUCCUCAUCUCGGCAAACUCUACGAUACAAGAUCGCUCCACCGAAUAAUACAAACAGUCUUACAUUAUGAAACCGGCGUUACAUGAACACAUAGAAAAAGACUUGCCUCGUGCUUGUUUCUAAUACAGUAAUACUUGAAACCAACACUACCAUGAUGUUUGAGAUAUUUUUG
RNAcentral lists this ribosomal RNA (2457 nucleotides) under Triticum aestivum (bread wheat). Its description in RNAcentral is "partial small subunit ribosomal RNA". The record is from RNAcentral. Lineage: Eukaryota; Viridiplantae; Streptophyta; Magnoliopsida; Poales; Poaceae.